RNAcentral lists this long non-coding RNA (659 nucleotides) under Vitis vinifera (wine grape). Its description in RNAcentral is "long non-coding RNA (VVIN_LNC002958)". The record is from RNAcentral. Lineage: Eukaryota; Viridiplantae; Streptophyta; Magnoliopsida; Vitales; Vitaceae.
GCCUGCAAGUAUAGAGAAAGCUCUCAACACUGUGAUCUUUAAUCAACCCUCAAAUUCAUAAUUGCCUUGCCUAAAGAACAUCCAUCAAAAUUUAGCCUCACAAAGCCUACUUGAGGUGGCAUCCAUUCACUAGGUAUCUCCUUGGUUAGUCUCAUUGUUCUGCAAACUAGGUUUUGUGGAAAUUUGGUUUUAAUGACCAGAUUUGGUUGACCUACUAUCCUAUUCAAUUAGAAGAUAUUUAGUUUUAAUUUGGUAAAUAUAUGGCCUCAAAUAAGGUGGGAUCUGACUAUAUUUUUUAUUUUCUAGAUUUAGCCAUGUAAAUCCCUAAUUUUAAUGGAUAUUCUCAUAACUGUUAUAGCUAUUACAGUUGUAUUGAUUUUAAGGGAUCUUCACACAGCUGUUAUAGCUGUGUAUUCUAUAUAUCCCUCUCUUGUAUUUGACGUAAGGUAUCAAUGAAAAUUUUAGAGUUUUCCCCUCUAAAUUCUUGAUGGUAUCAGUGCCAAAACCAAAACUGAUUAGAGUUUUCCCCUCUAAAUUCUUGAUGGUAUCGGUGCCAAAACCAAAACUGACCAUAUUCAAAUGGUAAAAUACAGUAUGGCUACUGAAAAGAUGGGUCAGCCUCGAAGGUAUCAUCCGGGUCAGAAAAUAUUGUUCCCUCU